RNAcentral lists this ribosomal RNA (301 nucleotides) under uncultured bacterium. Its description in RNAcentral is "partial 16S ribosomal RNA". It matches the Rfam family "Bacterial small subunit ribosomal RNA", at positions 509 to 807 of the family's 1533-position model. The record is from RNAcentral.
CAGCCGCCACGGUAAUACGGAGGGUGCAAGCGUUAAUCGGAAUUACUGGGCGUAAAGCGCACGCAGGCGGUUUGUUAAGUCAGAUGUGAAAUCCCCGAGCUUAACUUGGGAACUGCAUUUGAAACUGGCAAGCUAGAGUCUUGUAGAGGGGGGUAGAAUUCCAGGUGUAGCGGUGAAAUGCGUAGAGAUCUGGAGGAAUACCGGUGGCGAAGGCGGCCCCCUGGACAAAGACUGACGCUCAGGUGCGAAAGCGUGGGGAGCGAACAGGAUUAGAUACCCGCGUAGUCCCUGUCUCUUAUAC